UGUGCACAACAUCAACUGAUGGCUUACAAGAUGAAAGGGGUCUUCAAGGGCCUCAGGGUUAUUACUCAAAUCUUUGUGGUGAAGGAGCAAGAGAUGGAGAUUGGUCAUCCCAUAGACGUGAAGCAUGUCGCGCAUAUCGGUUGGGAUAGCCCAACGGGAAGUGCUGCUACUUCUCCUACUCCUAGCUGGAUGAACGACAUGAAGGGUACGCCGGACAUUUCAACCUUGAGCAAUUCCGGACCAUCUACAGGUACCUCCUGGAGUUCUCAAGAUUUUGACCAUCCUCGAGAUACAUCAACCUAUGGUAUACUUCCAGAAAAUAGUAGUCCGGGAUCAACACCGUACCCUGACAUACCAAAGCCACCCCGAAAGGCUAGAAGGAAGAAAUCUACCAAGGACAGUUCACCAACGGCAUCAUCAUCGAGAUCAUCAAGGUCAUCAAGAUCAAGAUCUAAGGGCUCACUUUCAUCCACUACACCUGACACCAUUGGUGCCAAUGAUAUUCAAUGUAAAAUCCGGAUUGUGUAG
This 528-nucleotide ribosomal RNA is filed under the name Triticum aestivum (bread wheat). Its description in RNAcentral is "partial small subunit ribosomal RNA". The record is from RNAcentral. Lineage: Eukaryota; Viridiplantae; Streptophyta; Magnoliopsida; Poales; Poaceae.